This 473-nucleotide ribosomal RNA is filed under the name Pasteurella dagmatis. RNAcentral describes it as "bacterial SSU rRNA". It matches the Rfam family "Bacterial small subunit ribosomal RNA", at positions 9 to 473 of the family's 1533-position model. The record is from RNAcentral. Lineage: Bacteria; Pseudomonadati; Pseudomonadota; Gammaproteobacteria; Pasteurellales; Pasteurellaceae.
GAGUUUGAUCAUGGCUCAGAUUGAACGCUGGCGGCAGGCUUAACACAUGCAAGUCGAACGGUAGCAGGAAGAAAGCUUGCUUUCUUUGCUGACGAGUGGCGGACGGGUGAGUAAUGCUUGGGAAUCUGGCUUAUGGAGGGGGAUAACUGUGGGAAACUGCAGCUAAUACCGCGUAGUAUCGAGAGAUGAAAGGGUGGGACCUUCGGGCCACCUGCCAUAAGAUGAGCCCAAGUGGGAUUAGGUAGUUGGUGGGGUAAAGGCCUACCAAGCCGACGAUCUCUAGCUGGUCUGAGAGGAUGACCAGCCACACUGGGACUGAGACACGGCCCAGACUCCUACGGGAGGCAGCAGUGGGGAAUAUUGCGCAAUGGGGGGAACCCUGACGCAGCCAUGCCGCGUGAAUGAAGAAGGCCUUCGGGUUGUAAAGUUCUUUCGGUAAUGAGGAAGGGGUAUUAUUGAAUAGAUAAUAUCAU